Mesocricetus auratus (golden hamster) is the source of this 164-nucleotide small nuclear RNA. Its record names the gene U1. It matches the Rfam family "U1 spliceosomal RNA". Rfam says of the family: U1 is a small nuclear RNA (snRNA) component of the spliceosome (involved in pre-mRNA splicing). Its 5' end forms complementary base pairs with the 5' splice junction, thus defining the 5' donor site of an intron. There are significant differences in sequence and secondary structure between metazoan and yeast U1 snRNAs, the latter being much longer (568 nucleotides as compared to 164 nucleotides in human). NCBI's taxonomy places the organism in Eukaryota, Metazoa, Chordata, Mammalia, Rodentia, Cricetidae. The record is from Ensembl.
AAAAUUACCCAGCAGGGAAGAUACCACGAUCAAGGAGGUGGUUUUCCCGGGGUUGUUCUCACCCAUUGCACUCUGGGUAUCCUGGCUCCUGCCAUUUCCCCAAAUGCAGGAAACUCAACUGCAUGGUUUGUGGUAGUUGGGGAUAACAUUUGAGCUUUUCCCUU